Molecule: ribosomal RNA, 253 nt
Filed under: uncultured bacterium
Lineage: Bacteria
Description: partial 16S ribosomal RNA
Rfam family: Bacterial small subunit ribosomal RNA
Source: RNAcentral
UACGUAGGGUGCGAGCGUUAAUCGGAAUUAUUGGGCGUAAAGAGCGUGUAGGCGGCCAGAUAGGUCCGUUGUGAAAACUGGAGGCUUAACCUCCAGCGGUCGAUGGAAACCAUUUGGCUAGAGUCCGGAAGAGGAGAGUGGAAUUCCUGGUGUAGCGGUGAAAUGCGCAGAUAUCAGGAAGAACACCCGUGGCGAAGGCGGCUCUCUGGGACGGUACUGACGCUGAGACGCGAAAGCGUGGGGAGCGAACAGG